RNAcentral lists this ribosomal RNA (468 nucleotides) under uncultured bacterium. RNAcentral's name for it is "partial 16S ribosomal RNA". It matches the Rfam family "Bacterial small subunit ribosomal RNA", at positions 28 to 507 of the family's 1533-position model. The record is from RNAcentral.
GACGAACGCUGGCGGCGUGCUUAACACAUGCAAGUCGAACGGAAAGGCCCUGCUUUUGUGGGUUUCUCGAUUGGCGAACGGGUGAGUAACACGUGAGUAACCUGCCCUUGACUUUGUGAUAACUUCAGGAAACUGGGGCUAAUACCGGAUAGGAUCUUCUGCUGCAUGUUGUUGGUUGGAAAGUUUCGGCGGUUGUGGAUGGACUCGCUGCUUAUCAGCUUGUUGGGGGGGUAGUGACUUUCCAAGGCUUUGACGGGUAGGCGGCCUGAGAGGGUUACCGGGCACCUUGCGACUGAGAUACGGACCAGACUCCUACGGGAGGCAGCAGGGGGGAAUCUUGCACAGCGGGGGGAAGCCAGAUGCAGAAACGCCGCGUGCGGGAUGACGGCCUUCGGGUUGUAAACCGAUUUCGAAUGUGACGAAGCGUGCGUGACGGUAAUGAGUAAAGAAGCAACGGCUAACUACGUG